RNAcentral lists this ribosomal RNA (698 nucleotides) under uncultured bacterium. RNAcentral's name for it is "bacterial SSU rRNA". It matches the Rfam family "Bacterial small subunit ribosomal RNA", at positions 8 to 754 of the family's 1533-position model. The record is from RNAcentral.
AGAGUUUGAUCAUGGCUCAGAACGAACGCUGGCGGCAGGCCUAACACAUGCAAGUCGAGCGCCCCGCAAGGGGAGCGGCGGACGGGUGAGUAACGCGUGGGAACGUACCCUUUGCUACGGAAUAGCCUCGGGAAACUGGGAGUAAUACCGUAUGUGCCCUUCGGGGGAAAGAUUUAUCGGCAAAGGAUCGGCCCGCGUUGGAUUAGGUAGUUGGUGGGGUAAUGGCCUACCAAGCCGACGAUCCAUAGCUGGUUUGAGAGGAUGAUCAGCCACACUGGGACUGAGACACGGCCCAGACUCCUACGGGAGGCAGCAGUGGGGAAUCUUAGACAAUGGGCGCAAGCCUGAUCUAGCCAUGCCGCGUGAGCGAUGAAGGCCUUAGGGUUGUAAAGCUCUUUCAGUGGGGAAGAUAAUGACUGUACCCACAGAAGAAGCCCCGGCUAACUCCGUGCCAGCAGCCGCGGUAAUACGGAGGGGGCUAGCGUUGUUCGGAAUUACUGGGCGUAAAGCGCACGUAGGCGGACUGGAAAGUCAGAGGUGAAAUCCCAGGGCUCAACCUUGGAACUGCCUUUGAAACUCCCGGUCUUGAGGUCGAGAGAGGUGAGUGGAAUUCCGAGUGUAGAGGUGAAAUUCGUAGAUAUUCGGAGGAACACCAGUGGCGAAGGCGGCUCACUGGCUCGAUACUGACGCUGAGGUGC